RNAcentral lists this transfer RNA (72 nucleotides) under Camelus bactrianus (Bactrian camel). It matches the Rfam family "tRNA". From Rfam's summary of the family: Transfer RNA (tRNA) molecules are approximately 80 nucleotides in length. Their secondary structure includes four short double-helical elements and three loops (D, anti-codon, and T loops). The record is from Rfam by way of RNAcentral. RNAcentral also lists the same sequence under 3 other names. Lineage: Eukaryota; Metazoa; Chordata; Mammalia; Artiodactyla; Camelidae.
GAGGGUAUAGCUCAGUGGUAGAGUGCCUGCUUAGCAUGCACAAGGUCCUGGGUUCAAUCCCCAGUACCUCUG